Molecule: ribosomal RNA, 504 nt
Filed under: uncultured bacterium
Lineage: Bacteria
Description: partial 16S ribosomal RNA
Rfam family: Bacterial small subunit ribosomal RNA
Source: RNAcentral
AUUGAACGCUGGCGGCAGGCCUAACACAUGCAAGUCGAACGGUAGCACAGAGAGCUUGCUCUCGGGUGACGAGUGGCGGACGGGUGAGUAAUGUCUGGGAAACUGCCCGAUGGAGGGGGAUAACUACUGGAAACGGUAGCUAAUACCGCAUAACGUCGCAAGACCAAAGUGGGGGACCUUCGGGCCUCACACCAUCGGAUGUGCCCUGAUGGGAUUAGCUAGUAGGUGGGGUAAUGGCUCACCUAGGCGACGAUCCCUAGCUGGUCUGAGAGGAUGACCAGCCACACUGGAACUGAGACACGGUCCAGACUCCUACGGGAGGCAGCAGUGGGGAAUAUUGCACAAUGGGCGCAAGCCUGAUGCAGCCAUGCCGCGUGUAUGAAGAAGGCCUUCGGGUUGUAAAGUACUUUCAGCGGGGAGGAAGGCGGUGAGGUUAAUAACCUUGCCGAUUGACGUUACCCGCAGAAGAAGCACCGGCUAACUCCGUGCCAGCAGCCGCCGUAA